Molecule: long non-coding RNA, 1295 nt
Organism: Artibeus jamaicensis (Jamaican fruit-eating bat)
Lineage: Eukaryota; Metazoa; Chordata; Mammalia; Chiroptera; Phyllostomidae
Exons: 3
Source: RefSeq, a predicted model, not a curated record
CAGAUCUAGCCUGUGGUCUUCAGAGAACACUGCCGUGUGUUCUUUGUCGAGAGCCUAAGACCUUGUACAAAGAUGCAGGUCCACAGGAACUACCAUGAUAAAUAUUAGGGUAAAUUAAUAAACGGUUUCUGAGGUGGUGUGGAGCCAGCCUGUCCUUGCACGUUGGAAAUAUUUCUGGUUGUAAUGAGGCAAAGCAUUGAUAAUUCUUCUUCCUUUCUUCAAUUCAACGUGAGAGAAAGCCCUUUGUGCCAGAUGGAGUCAGUGGAACCAAAAACGAAGAGGGCUUGUGGGACGGUGUUCACAAAGUCUGCAGUGGUGUGCAGCAGUGUCCUGGGCUUUCACACUCUGCCACUGACUCACCAACUCAGAGCAUCUUCCAGUCCUGCAGGCUCCAUUCACAGUGAGCACCCUACCCGGCUAGGAAGACCCCGUAAAACAGCCCGGGAAGAGGAGACGUGUGCCAGGCCAGAUAAGAGAUUGGAAGCAGACGGUCGAGGAGAGCAGGUGUCCAGCUCUUUGGGGUGCCCACCCUUCCCCCUCUGGAGGACAGGGGUUUAAAGACUCACAAGGGCAGAACCCCGAUGAAGAUGGAGGGAGCCCAGGCCCCAUGGAGAGACCGUGCCGAGGUGUUCAGCCGAGUCCCAGCUUCCUCCACCGCUGGACAUGGGAGGGAGGAGGCCUCAGGACAGCUCCUGCCCAAGCCACUGCCUGGCCACAGCCGCACGAGGGCUCCAGGAUGAGAACCGACUAGCUGAGCCCAGUCAACCCCUGGAAUCCCGAGAAGUAAUAAUAAUAACAAUAACAGACCGUGGUUUAACACCAUUGGGUUGGGGUGACUUGUUGAGAAGCACUAGAGACCUAGAUCACUGGUCACUUAAACAUGACUUUUGGCUGUUUGUAUGGUCAUGAGAACCAUAAGCCAUGCCCCUUGGAGAGGCUUGAAGUGCCACCGCCAGCUGGAGGUGGGUGGUGGCUCCAGGUGGUGGCAGCGUCCUACCCAACCUGCAUGCCAGGCCUCAGGACUACCAGGGAGCUGGCACUAUGGGAUUCCUCUGGCGGGGCCCCUCACCGGGGGAGGCAUUGGCUGUCUGGCCCUUGGGGAGCGACCCACCCUUCCACCUCCGGCAGACCUGGGAAGAUAUCCAGGGCCAGCUGUGUGCUUUGGAAAGCUACUUCUCAGCUCUCUCUCCUGUGCAGAGGUAUAAGAUUAACCUCCGGUUUUACACUCUGGAAAUCCAAGUAUCAUAUAAGGUUCAGUGUUUUUCAGGUGCAAGUUCUUUAUUUGGCUCUUAGCA